GGUGGCGACCGGCGCACGGGUGCGUAACGCGUAUGUAACCUACCUAUAACAGGGGCAUAACACUGAGAAAUUGGUACUAAUUCCCCAUAAUAUUCGGAGAGGCAUCUCUCCGGGUUGAAAACUCCGGUGGUUAUAGAUGGACAUGCGUUGUAUUAGCUAGUUGGUGAGGUAACGGCUCACCAAGGCAACGAUACAUAGGGGGACUGAGAGGUUAACCCCCCACACUGGUACUGAGACACGGUCCAGACUCCUACGGGAGGCAGCAUG
Molecule: ribosomal RNA, 267 nt
Filed under: uncultured bacterium
Lineage: Bacteria
Description: partial 16S ribosomal RNA
Rfam family: Bacterial small subunit ribosomal RNA
Source: RNAcentral